Molecule: long non-coding RNA, 807 nt
Organism: Mus musculus (house mouse)
Lineage: Eukaryota; Metazoa; Chordata; Mammalia; Rodentia; Muridae
Product: predicted gene, 39154
Exons: 3
Source: RefSeq, a predicted model, not a curated record
AUAAACGUGUGCAGAAGGAUCCUGUUGCAGUGUCAUUCUUCCUGGCCAGUUGGGCGCGUGCAAGACAUAUGGACCAUAUGAGUGUUCUCAGAUCCUUGAAGAGGAUGUCUUUAUUGCACCAAGGAUAUGGUGGUUUUUUACUACAUCCUGAAAAAGCCUCCAUUUCUCUUCACCCUGGAACAACGGAAAGAUCUGUAUGUAAUGAAUGAAGAAAGAACCUGAGAAAAUAAUGAAGCAAACUUUUCCCCAAAUAAUUCCUAUGUUUUAAAAAUUCUUGUUUCUGGAGUCAUUUGAGAAACAAUCCAACCUCUUGCUAUGUACAUCUAUACAGUUCACUCUGCAAUCCCUUCUUAUUUGCUGCAUGUGUCAUCCCAUUGCCUAAUGUAAGUGGUUUCAAAGCUCUGGACAGUGUCCUCUUGUGCAUCUGUAUCCCCUCUUCUCUCCUGCUACAUUUCAUUCUUGGGAGUCCUAACAAUUGCUGCUCCUUCCUUCUUUUGUAUGAAUUUUUGUUAUGAACUCUCUUCCUUUCAUUAUAUAAAACGUAUUUAUUAUUUUGUAUUUGUGUUAAUUUUUUUGCCUACACAUCUAUGUGCACUACAUCUAUUCCCUGAGCCCUCCAAGAUCAGAAGAUGAUGUAAGAGUCUCUGAAACUGGAAUUAUAGUUGGCUGUGUACACAUAUUGGUGAUGUAUAUAGUCUUCAGUCCUCUACAAGAUCACCAAGUGUUUUAAUUACUGAGACAUCUUUCCAGGCUCCCGGAAGUUUUUGGAGACUUACUUGAUGCAAGCUAUUUUUUUUAGUCUUAUUA